This 868-nucleotide ribosomal RNA is filed under the name uncultured bacterium. Its description in RNAcentral is "bacterial SSU rRNA". It matches the Rfam family "Bacterial small subunit ribosomal RNA", at positions 8 to 891 of the family's 1533-position model. The record is from RNAcentral.
AGAGUUUGAUCAUGGCUCAGGACGAACGCUGGCGGCGUGCUUAACACAUGCAAGUCGAGCGAUGAAACACCUUCGGGUGUGAAUUAGCGGCGAACGGGUGAGGAACACGUGAAGAAUCUGCCUUCAACUCUGGGAUAACUCCGGGAAACCGGGGCUAAUACCGGAUAUGAGCCUCGAUCGCAUGAUUGGGGCUGGAAAGUUUUUCGGUUGAAGAUGACUUCGCGGCCUAUCAGCUUGUUGGUGAGGUAAUGGCUCACCAAGGCGACGACGGGUAGCCGGCCUGAGAGGGCGACCGGCCACACUGGGACUGAGACACGGCCCAGACUCCUACGGGAGGCAGCAGUGGGGAAUAUUGGGCAAUGGAGGAAACUCUGACCCAGCGACGCCGCGUGAGGGAUGAAGGCCUUUGGGUUGUAAACCUCUUUCAGUAGGGAAGAAGCGAAAGUGACGGUACCUACAGAAGAAGCACCGGCUAACUAUGUGCCAGCAGCCGCGGUAAUACAUAGGGUGCAAGCGUUGUCCGGAAUUAUUGGGCGUAAAGAGCUCGUAGGUGGUUCGAUACGUCGGAUGUGAAAAUCAGGGGCUCAACCCCUGACCUGCAUCCGAUACGGUCGAGCUAGAGUUUGGUAGGGGAGACUGGAAUUCCUGGUGUAGCGGUGGAAUGCGCAGAUAUCAGGAGGAACACCGAUGGCGAAGGCAGGUCUCUGGGCCAAUACUGACACUGAGGAGCGAAAGCGUGGGGAGCGAACAGGAUUAGAUACCCUGGUAGUCCACGCCGUAAACGGUGGGCGCUAGUUGUGCGAACCUUCCACGGUUUGUGCGACGCAGCUAACGCAUUAAGCGCCCCGCCUGGGGAGUACGAUCGCAA